RNAcentral lists this ribosomal RNA (497 nucleotides) under uncultured bacterium. Its description in RNAcentral is "partial 16S ribosomal RNA". It matches the Rfam family "Bacterial small subunit ribosomal RNA", at positions 28 to 507 of the family's 1533-position model. The record is from RNAcentral.
GACGAACGCUGGCGGCGUGCCUAAUACAUGCAAGUUGAGCGAUGAAGCUUGGUGCUUGCACCAAUUUGAAGAGCAGCGAACGGGUGAGUAACGCGUGGGGAAUCUGCCUUUGAGCGGGGGACAACAUUUGGAAACGAAUGCUAAUACCGCAUAAUAACUUUAAACAUAAGUUUUAAGUUUGAAAGAUGCAAUUGCAUCACUCAAAGAUGAUCCCGCGUUGUAUUAGCUAGUUGGUGAGGUAAAGGCUCACCAAGGCGAUGAUACAUAGCCGACCUGAGAGGGUGAUCGGCCACAUUGGGACUGAGACACGGCCCAAACUCCUACGGGAGGCAGCAGUAGGGAAUCUUCGGCAAUGGACGAAAGUCUGACCGAGCAACGCCGCGUGAGUGAAGAAGGUUGUCGGAUCGUAAAACUCUGUUGGUAGAGAAGAACGUUGGUGAGAGUGGAAAGCUCAUCAAGUGACGGUAACUACCCAGAAAGGGACGGCUAACUACGUG